GGGGCAACCUGAUCAGCCAUGCCGCGCUGGUGUGAAGAAGGCCUUCGGGUUGUAAAGCACUUUCAGUGAGGAGGAAAGGGUGUGGGUUAAUACCCCUGAUCCUUGACGUUACUCACAGAAGAAGCACCGGCUAACUCCGUGCCAGCAGCCGCGGUAAUACGAA
RNAcentral lists this ribosomal RNA (163 nucleotides) under uncultured Pseudoalteromonas sp. RNAcentral describes it as "partial 16S ribosomal RNA". It matches the Rfam family "Bacterial small subunit ribosomal RNA", at positions 374 to 529 of the family's 1533-position model. Lineage: Bacteria; Pseudomonadati; Pseudomonadota; Gammaproteobacteria; Alteromonadales; Pseudoalteromonadaceae. The record is from RNAcentral.